UACGAAGGGGGCUAGCGUUGUUCGGAAUUACUGGGCGUAAAGCGCAAGUAGGCGGAUUGUUAAGUCAGGGGUGAAAUCCCGGGGCUCAACCCCGGAACUGCAUUCGAUACUGCUGCGCUAGAGUAAUGGAGAGGAGAUUGGAAUUUACGGUGUAGCAGUGAAAUGCGUAGAUAUCGUAAGGAAGACCAGUGGCGAAGGCGGAUCUCUGGACAGUUACUGACACUGAGGCACGAAGGCCAGGGGAGCAAACGGG
RNAcentral lists this ribosomal RNA (253 nucleotides) under uncultured bacterium. RNAcentral describes it as "partial 16S ribosomal RNA". It matches the Rfam family "Bacterial small subunit ribosomal RNA", at positions 524 to 776 of the family's 1533-position model. The record is from RNAcentral.